RNAcentral lists this ribosomal RNA (471 nucleotides) under uncultured bacterium. RNAcentral describes it as "bacterial SSU rRNA". It matches the Rfam family "Bacterial small subunit ribosomal RNA", at positions 28 to 497 of the family's 1533-position model. The record is from RNAcentral.
GACGAACGCUGGCGGCGUGCUUAACACAUGCAAGUCGAACGAUGAACCACUUCGGUGGGGAUUAGUGGCGAACGGGUGAGUAACACGUGGGCAAUCUGCCCUUCACUCUGGGACAAGCCCUGGAAACGGGGUCUAAUACCGGAUAACACUGCCACGGGCAUCUGUGGUGGUUAAAAGCUCCGGCGGUGAAGGAUGAGCCCGCGGCCUAUCAGCUUGUUGGUGGGGUGAUGGCCACCAAGGCGACGACGGGUAGCUGGUCUGAGAGGACGACCAGUCACACUGGAACUGAGACACGGUCCAGACACCUACGGGUGGCAGCAGUCGAGAAUUUUUCUCAAUGGGGGAAACCCUGAAGGAGCGACGCCGCGUGGAGGAUGAAGGCUUUCGGGUUGUAAACUCCUGUCAUUUGGGAACAAGUUACACACGUUAACUAGCGUGGGUAUUGAUAGUACCAGAAGAGGAAGAGACGGC